GCGUUUUUGGCUUAGUUGGUAGAGCAAUCGCAUGCCAGGCGAUAGGCGCCGGUUCGAGUCCGGCAAUUCGCU
Molecule: transfer RNA, 72 nt
Filed under: Gammaproteobacteria bacterium
Lineage: Bacteria; Pseudomonadati; Pseudomonadota; Gammaproteobacteria
Description: tRNA-Gly
Rfam family: tRNA
About the family: Transfer RNA (tRNA) molecules are approximately 80 nucleotides in length. Their secondary structure includes four short double-helical elements and three loops (D, anti-codon, and T loops).
Source: RNAcentral